CAGCGAAACAACAAGCCAUCAUAUAACAUGUUACAUGUUAAAGAAAGGAUAAACAUAAUUUCUGGAACCUAUAUCAACGAAAACAACAACUUUGGAUGUCCUAAGUGAUACUUCAAAUUUGUAACAUAUGUUUCAGGAGUGCUUACACAGGAUAUUUUGUCGCGUUUAAAUUUGUUCUAUCUAAUUUUUUUUGGAGUAAUCUAUCUAUUCAGCUUGUGUGAUUUGGAUCUUUAUAUUGGACAAGGGAUAGCAAUUUUAAAAGCAGGUACUAUACUUCUAUCAGUUACAAAUGGGAGAUCAAGACAAAUUCAUGUUCUGCCGAUUUAUUGUGGAGUUCAUUAUUUGGAUAAGAGAAGCCGAUAUUACAAGGGCUUCCUAGGUCUGACAGAGACUAUAGUGUGUAAGGUGUGCUGUGACAAGGAUGUGGCCGCCGCCUUCCUGCCCUGUGGUCACCUGGUCUGCUGUCUGGACUGUGCCCCCGCGAUGAGGAGGUGCCCCUCUGUACAGAACUCAUCAAGGGCACAGUCAAAACCUACUUUGCAUAAAUGGGUCUACAGAUCUAUAGAAAACACAAGGGUGAAAAUUCAUUUUAGGAAUGUGGAUAUAUUACUUUUUGGGGAAAUUAUGAUUUUCAUCAGAGGUCACAGGAAGGGCAGAAAGUCGCGGAGUGUUUUCAGCUUGUGUUAAUUGGCUCUAGUUGAAACAACAUGAACAAGGAAGGGAUUUAUAACAAGGAAGGACAAGGGGAUAUAGCAGUACUAGAAGCAGAAUACUGGAUUUGUAAAUAGCAGAUGGAUCUUCUCAAGAAGAAAAGUGAUGGUGCUUCAACUUUGGAAGAAACAGCAGAAAAAUAAGUUUCCUCUUAAUUCAUCCUACAAAUAUCCCAUACUAUAACAAUUAACUUAUCUGUUAAAACUAAAUUAAACUCAUACUUCUCUGUUCUGUAAUUUCAUUAUAUUCUGUUAAAUCAAUUUUCACAAGCAAACAUGUUUCUGAUUAUCAUACUUGAUUGACAAAGAGGGAAUUCUUUUAUUGUAGUCUGAAGGUGUUAAUUUUUUUUACUCUGGACAGUUCAUACAAUUAUUACCCUUAACAUAAACAACAAUGAAUUAAAAGAAAAAAAAAUAGUUUUGUUCUUUGUACUAAAAUCAGAACAGAUUUUUAUCCUGCAGAU
Long non-coding RNA from Saccostrea cuccullata (small rock oyster), 1174 nucleotides. RefSeq lists it as uncharacterized. The transcript is spliced from 5 exons. The record is from RefSeq and is a predicted model, not a curated record. NCBI's taxonomy places the organism in Eukaryota, Metazoa, Mollusca, Bivalvia, Ostreida, Ostreidae.